CCUACGGGAGGCAGCAGUGGGGAAUAUUGCGCAAUGGGCGAAAGCCUGACGCAGCGACGCCGCGUGAGGGAUGAAGGUCUUCGGAUCGUAAACCUCUGUCAGCAGGGAAGAACGGUCACUGUGCUAAUCAGCAGUGAAUUGACGGUACCUGCAAAGGAAGCACCGGCUAACUCCGUGCCAGCAGCCGCGGUAAUACGGAGGGUGCGAGCGUUAAUCGGAAUUACUGGGCGUAAAGCGCUCGUAGGCGGUAUGUCAAGUCAAGGGUGAAAUCCCCGCGCUCAACGUGGGAACUGCCUUUGAAACGGGCAAACUGGAGUGUGUGAGAGGAUAGUGGAAUUCCAGGUGUAGGAGUGAAAGCCGUAGAGAUCUGGAGGAACAUCAGUGGCGAAGGCGACUAUCUGGCACAUAACUGACGCUGAGGAGCGAAAGCGUGGGUAGCAAACAGGAUUAGAUACCCGAGUAGUC
This 465-nucleotide ribosomal RNA is filed under the name uncultured bacterium. RNAcentral's name for it is "partial 16S ribosomal RNA". It matches the Rfam family "Bacterial small subunit ribosomal RNA", at positions 338 to 795 of the family's 1533-position model. The record is from RNAcentral.